RNAcentral lists this transfer RNA (65 nucleotides) under Dipodomys ordii (Ord's kangaroo rat). It matches the Rfam family "tRNA". From Rfam's summary of the family: Transfer RNA (tRNA) molecules are approximately 80 nucleotides in length. Their secondary structure includes four short double-helical elements and three loops (D, anti-codon, and T loops). Further hydrogen bonds mediate the characteristic L-shaped molecular structure. tRNAs have two regions of fundamental functional importance: the anti-codon, which is responsible for specific mRNA codon recognition, and the 3' end, to which the tRNAs corresponding amino acid is attached (by aminoacyl-tRNA synthetases). tRNAs cope with the degeneracy of the genetic code in two manners: having more than one tRNA (with a specific anti-codon) for a particular amino acid; and 'wobble' base-pairing, i.e. permitting non-standard base-pairing at the 3rd anti-codon position. The record is from Rfam by way of RNAcentral. Lineage: Eukaryota; Metazoa; Chordata; Mammalia; Rodentia; Heteromyidae.
GGUGGCUUAGUGGCAAAGUGCUUGCCUUGAAUGCAUGAAGCCCUGGGUUUGAUUUCCCAGUACCA